This 221-nucleotide long non-coding RNA is filed under the name Elaeis guineensis (African oil palm). RNAcentral's name for it is "long non-coding RNA (EGUI_LNC019551)". The record is from RNAcentral. Lineage: Eukaryota; Viridiplantae; Streptophyta; Magnoliopsida; Arecales; Arecaceae.
CACAAAAUAGAAAAAUAGAAAAAGAACUCUUUAUGCCCGAAGAAGAGGUUGAAUUUUUGAUCUUUGGAAGCUUGAUCAUUUUUCUUUGAAUCUUGAGAGGAUGUUGAAUAUGUUGUUGAAGAAUGCUCUUUGAAUUUGGUACUUGGUUCCUCUCUUUUUCUUCUCUAAGGAUGUAUAAUAGAGCUCUCAAAGAUUUUGUUGAUUUUCUCUUUUUAACCAUC